RNAcentral lists this unclassified non-coding RNA (164 nucleotides) under soil metagenome. RNAcentral describes it as "partial internal transcribed spacer 1". The record is from RNAcentral.
ACGAGUUAGGGCCUCUGGCCCGAAACCUCCAACCCUUUGUAUCAAAACCUCGUUGCCUCGGCGGAGCAGCCCGCCCCCGUAAAAGGGACUGGCCCCCCCGAUGGACCCCUAAACUCUGCAUUUUUUAGUGGAACGUUCUGAGUAAAGACUAAACAAUAAAUCAA